UCUUAAAUUAUAAAAUGAUCAUGAACUGGUUUGAUUAGUUUUUGGCUGUUGAGGUUGAAUUUAUGGUCUCCCCCUCCAUUAACUGAGGUGAAGCAUACAUGGCAUUCGAUGUUGGGUCCACUUUUAGAUCAGACAAUUUCUUUAAUUUUUAAGGUGAUACACUCUGAUAUUAUUGAACUGCUCUCAUUUCCCUGAUUUGUAUGUGGAUGUUGUGGAAGAGAAGUGAUUUUUAUCAUGAAGUGUCUGCUCUUGCUAAAUUGAUGCUGCUGCAGCAUCUUAUUUCAAUUAUCAGAGAAAAAAAAUGGUUUUUAUCCUCUCUGGUGGUGAAAAUGGGUUGCUGAUGAAAUUGAUAGUAACUGGUUGAAAUGGUUUGGUCAGCUUUUGUUUUUGGCUGUGCUUUUCAAUUUUAUUUUAUUAUUGACUUGCCAACAUGUAUUCUUCACAGUAUGCAUUCAGAUUCGAGUCUUCACAGGGAGCAUUCCAAGAAGAUCUGAAUGCAUCUCUCUGUUUUUGUCAUUUACUCAUUUUCAAUAUUAUUAAGAAUCAUUGGUAUCUGGUGUGUUCAGAUUGGAGCCAAUAGGAAAAAAUUCAUCUGUUUUGUUUUCCAUUUGGGUUUCUACGUUCUAGUAUGAACAUACUAGCAGAAACAAGCUUGACGAAUUUGAUAUUAAACCAGAUUCUCUCCUUGUCACUGGACAUGAUGUUAAAGUAAUGCAGUAAAUUAAUAAUGCUGGACAACAGGUACUUACAAUUUCUCAGAAAUUUGGAUUUUAUGUUGAUGUGUAUGUACUAGUAGCCUUAUCAGUGUGUACUCAGAAAUGCGGGAAAAUGGAGUUGUCUAAGCAUGUAUUUGGUAAACUUCCCGACUCCUGAGUUAGAUGUUGUCUGUUGGAAUACAAUGCUAGCAGGAUUCUCAAUCAAUUCUCUAGAACAAAAUGUUUUGUCUUUCUUUAAGUAGAUGUAGCACUUUGGCUUCUUUUCUUCUAAGUUUUCUCUUGCUACCAUAAUGAGUUCUUGUGCAAAACUUUCUUCUUUAUUUAAAGAACUACAGAUUCAUGCUCAGAUCAUAAAAGUUGGUUAUGUACGUGAGUCGUGACUUGUUUGUGGGGAGUUCUCUUGUAGAAAUGUAUUGCAAAUGUGAGGAUAUAGGUGGAGCCAGAUGCUUUUCGAUAUGAAAUGAUACACUGUUAUGCACAGAUCAUAAAAUUUGGGCAUCGCUGCAAAAAAAAUCAACUAAUAGACAUUUGGCAAUGAGGAAAUAAAAGCAAAAGCCUUUCUUUGAAAGAUGAGGUUGGAGUAACGGUAGCAACACAAGGUUGGAUUGGAAGUGAGACAACAAGGGACAAGUUGUAAAGCUAGAGGAGCGCGCAGAGAUAGAAGGAAGAAAGAGUAGUAAGUCCCCGUUGUAAAGCUCAUCAAAGCUCACUGUUACUCACUAGUGACAAUAGCUUAUGUCAUUACAUGUAAUUAGUUCUUUACUGCUUCAUAUUACACUUAACUAUAUGUAGCUAGUUCGUUAUGGACUUAUGCUUAAAGCUUACUAUAGUUAGAAGUCUGUUAGCCCCCUUUGCACCACUUAUUUAUAUUAUACAUUUGCUUACCCAAAAAAAGCCUAGUUAUAGCUAUGAAUAGCUUGCAGCCUUGUACACUCACUGAAACAGUUAGUGAAAAUUCUCUUCAUUCAA
Long non-coding RNA from Lotus japonicus, 1685 nucleotides. RefSeq lists it as uncharacterized. The transcript is spliced from 2 exons. The record is from RefSeq and is a predicted model, not a curated record. NCBI's taxonomy places the organism in Eukaryota, Viridiplantae, Streptophyta, Magnoliopsida, Fabales, Fabaceae.